This 492-nucleotide ribosomal RNA is filed under the name uncultured archaeon. RNAcentral describes it as "bacterial SSU rRNA". It matches the Rfam family "Archaeal small subunit ribosomal RNA", at positions 243 to 736 of the family's 1478-position model. The record is from RNAcentral.
AAUGGCUCACCAAGCCGAAGAUCCGUAGGGGCCUUGACAGAGGUAGCCCCGAGAAGGGCACUGAGAUACUGGCCCUAGCUCCACGGAGUGCAGCAGGCGCGAAACCUUUACAAUGCACGGAAGUGUGAUAAGGGAACCCCAAGUGAUAAUGCAAAGCAUUAUCUUUUGCUUAGAGCAAAUAUCUAAGCGAAUAAGUGGUGGGCAAUACCUGUGCCAGCCGCCGCGGUAACCCAGGAGCCACAAGUGGCAACCACCUUUAUUGGGCCUAAAGCGUCCGUAGCCGGUUUUGUAAAUUUCCUGUGAAAUAGUUGCGCUUAACGUAACUGCGUGCAGGAAACACUGCAAGACUUGGAACCGGGAGGAGUCAGAGGUAUUUUGGGGGGAGCGGUAAAAUGCUAUAAUCCCCGAAGGACCACCUGUGGCGAAAGCGUCUGACUAGAACGGAUUCGACGGUGAGGGACGAAAGCUAGGGGAGCAAUCCGGAUUAGAUAC